UACGGAGGGUGCGAGCGUUGUCCGGAAUCACUGGGCGUAAAGGGCGCGUAGGCGGCUCGAUAAGGCUGUGGUGAAAGCCCGGGGCUCAACCUCGGAUCGGCCGUGGCGACUCGUGGGCUGGAGCACUGUAGAGGCGGGUGGAAUUCCGGGUGUAGCGGUGGAAUGCGUAGAGAUCCGGAAGAACACCAGUGGCGAAGGCGGCCCGCUGGGCAGUGGCUGACGCUGAGGCGCGACAGCGUGGGGAGCAAACAGG
RNAcentral lists this ribosomal RNA (253 nucleotides) under uncultured bacterium. RNAcentral's name for it is "partial 16S ribosomal RNA". It matches the Rfam family "Bacterial small subunit ribosomal RNA", at positions 524 to 776 of the family's 1533-position model. The record is from RNAcentral.